UACGAAGGGGGCUAGCGUUGUUCGGAAUUACUGGGCGUAAAGCGCACGUAGGCGGAUAUUUAAGUCAGGGGUGAAAUCCCAGAGCUCAACUCUGGAACUGCCUUUGAUACUGGGUAUCUAGAGUAUGGAAGAGGUGAGUGGAAUUCCGAGUGUAGAGGUGAAAUUCGUAGAUAUUCGGAGGAACACCAGUGGCGAAGGCGGCUCACUGGCCCGAUACUGACGCUGAGGCACGAAAGCGUGGGGAGCAAACAGG
This 253-nucleotide ribosomal RNA is filed under the name uncultured bacterium. RNAcentral's name for it is "partial 16S ribosomal RNA". It matches the Rfam family "Bacterial small subunit ribosomal RNA", at positions 524 to 776 of the family's 1533-position model. The record is from RNAcentral.